RNAcentral lists this ribosomal RNA (253 nucleotides) under uncultured bacterium. RNAcentral describes it as "partial 16S ribosomal RNA". It matches the Rfam family "Bacterial small subunit ribosomal RNA", at positions 524 to 776 of the family's 1533-position model. The record is from RNAcentral.
UACAGAGGUCCCAAGCGUUGUUCGGAUUCACUGGGCGUAAAGGGUGCGCAGGCGGCCGCGCAAGUCGAGUGUGAAAUCCCCGAGCUUAACUUGGGAAUUGCGCUCGAAACUACGUGGCUGGAGUGUGGCAGAGGAAGGUGGAAUUCCACGUGUAGCGGUGAAAUGCGUAGAUAUCAGGAGGAAUACCGGUGGUGUAGACGGCUCUCUGGACCGUAACUGACGCUGAGACACGAAAGCGUGGGUAGCAAACAGG